UACGUAGGUGGCGAGCGUUGUCCGGAUUUACUGGGCGUAAAGGGAGCGUAGGCGGAUUUUUAAGUGAGAUGCGAAAUACUCGGGCUCAACUUGAGUGCUGCAUUUCGAACUGGAAGUCUAGAGUGCAGGAGAGGAGAAUGGAAUUCCUAGUGUAGCGGUGAAAUGCGUAGAGAUUAGGAAGAACACCAGUGGCGAAGGCGAUUCUCUGGACUGUAACUGACGCUGAGGCUCGAAAGCGUGGGGAGCAAACAGG
Molecule: ribosomal RNA, 253 nt
Filed under: uncultured bacterium
Lineage: Bacteria
Description: partial 16S ribosomal RNA
Rfam family: Bacterial small subunit ribosomal RNA
Source: RNAcentral